GGCGAACGCUGGCGGCGUGCCUAAUACAUGCAAGUCGAGCGCAGGAAGCUGGCGGAACUCUUCGGAGGGAAGGCAGUGGAAUGAGCGGCGGACGGGUGAGUAACACGUAAGGAACCUGCCUCAAGGAUUGGGAUAACUCAGAGAAAUCGGAGCUAAUACCGGAUAGUUCAACGGACCGCAUGGUCCGCUGACGAAAGGCGCUACGGCGUCACCUUGAGAUGGCCUUGCGGUGCAUUAGCUAGUUGGUGGGGUAACGGCCCACCAAGGCGACGAUGCAUAGCCGACCUGAGAGGGUGAUCGGCCACACUGGGACUGAGACACGGCCCAGACUCCUACGGGAGGCAGCAGUAGGGAAUCUUCCACAAUGGACGAAAGUCUGAUGGAGCAACGCCGCGUGAGUGAUGAAGGUUUUCGGAUCGUAAAACUCUGUUGUAAGGGAAGAACACGUACGAGAGGAAAUGCUCGUACCUUGACGGUACCUUACGAGAAAGCCACGGCUAACUACGUGCCAGCAGCCGCGGUAA
RNAcentral lists this ribosomal RNA (524 nucleotides) under uncultured bacterium. RNAcentral's name for it is "partial 16S ribosomal RNA". It matches the Rfam family "Bacterial small subunit ribosomal RNA", at positions 28 to 523 of the family's 1533-position model. The record is from RNAcentral.